CCUUAGAGUUUGAUCCUGGCUCAGGACGAACGCUGGCGGCGUGCUUAACACAUGCAAGUCGAACGGAGUACCCUCGAAAGAGAUUUCGGUCAAUGGAGAGGACUACUUAGUGGCGGACGGGUGAGUAACGCGUGAGGAACCUGCCUUUCAGUGGGGGACAACAGUUGGAAACGACUGCUAAUACCGCAUAACGUACUGGUAUCGCAUGGUACUGGUACCAAAGAUUUAUCGCUGAGAGAUGGCCUCGCGUCUGAUUAGCUAGUUGGUAGGGUAACGGCCUACCAAGGCGACGAUCAGUAGCCGGACUGAGAGGUUGGCCGGCCACAUUGGGACUGAGAUACGGCCCAGACUCCUACGGGAGGCAGCAGUGGGGAAUAUUGGGCAAUGGGCGCAAGCCUGACCCAGCAACGCCGCGUGAAGGAAGAAGGCUUUCGGGUUGUAAACUUCUUUUGACAGGGAAGAGCAGAAGACGGUACCUGUCGAAUAAGCCACGGCUAACUACGUGCCAGCAGCCGCGGUAAUACGUAGGUGGCAAGCGUUGUCCGGAUUUACUGGGUGUAAAGGGCGUGUAGCCGGGCUGACAAGUCAGAUGUGAAAUCCGGGGGCUCAACCCCCGAACUGCAUUUGAAACUGUUGGUCUUGAGUAUCGGAGAGGCAGGCGGAAUUCCUAGUGUAGCGGUGAAAUGCGUAGAUAUUAGGAGGAACACCAGUGGCGAAGGCGGCCUGCUGGACGACAACUGACGGUGAGGCGCGAAAGCGUGGGGAGCAAACAGGAUUAGAUACCCUGGUAGUCCACGCUGUAAACGAUGGAUACUAGGUGUGCGGGGACUGACCCCCUGCGUGCCGCAGCUAACGCAAUAAGUAUCCCACCUGGGGAGUACGAUCGCAAGGUUGAAACUCAAAGGAAUUGACGGGGGCCCGCACAAGCGGUGGAUUAUGUGGUUUAAUUCGAUGCAACGCGAAGAACCUUACCAGGGCUUGACAUCCUACUAACGAAGUAGAGAUACAUUAGGUACCCUUCGGGGGAAGUAGAGACAGGUGGUGCAUGGUUGUCGUCAGCUCGUGUCGUGAGAUGUUGGGUUAAGUCCCGCAACGAGCGCAACCCUUAUUGUUAGUUGCUACGCAAGAGCACUCUAGCGAGACUGCCGUUGACAAAACGGAGGAAGGUGGGGACGACGUCAAAUCAUCAUGCCCCUUAUGUCCUGGGCUACACACGUAAUACAAUGGCGGUCAACAGAGGGAUGCAAAACCGUGAGGUGGAGCGAACCCCUAAAAGCCGUCCCAGUUCAGAUCGCAGUCUGCAACCCGAAUGCGUGAAGUCGGCCUCGCUAGUAAUCGCGGAUCAGCAUGCCGCGGUGAAUUCGUUCCCGGGC
RNAcentral lists this ribosomal RNA (1373 nucleotides) under uncultured bacterium. RNAcentral's name for it is "partial 16S ribosomal RNA". It matches the Rfam family "Bacterial small subunit ribosomal RNA", at positions 1 to 1379 of the family's 1533-position model. The record is from RNAcentral.